Molecule: ribosomal RNA, 492 nt
Filed under: uncultured bacterium
Lineage: Bacteria
Description: partial 16S ribosomal RNA
Rfam family: Bacterial small subunit ribosomal RNA
Source: RNAcentral
GAUGAACGCUAGCUACAGGCUUAACACAUGCAAGUCGAGGGGAAACGGCAUUGAGUGCUUGCACUCUUUGGACGUCGACCGGCGCACGGGUGAGUAACGCGUAUCCAACCUUCCCAUUACUGUGGGAUAACCUGCCGAAAGGCAGACUAAUACCGCAUAGUCUUCGAUGACGGCAUCAGAUUUGAAGUAAAGAUUUAUCGGUAAUGGAUGGGGAUGCGUCUGAUUAGCUUGUUGGCGGGGUAACGGCCCACCAAGGCUACGAUCAGUAGGGGUUCUGAGAGUAAGGUCCCCCACAUUGGAACUGAGACACGGUCCAAACUCCUACGGGAGGCAGCAGUGAGGAAUAUUGGUCAAUGGACGGAAGUCUGAACCAGCCAAGUAGCGUGCAGGAUGACGGCCCUAUGGGUUGUAAACUGCUUUUGUAUGGGGAUAAAGUUAGGGACGUGUCCCUAUUUGCAGGUACCAUACGAAUAAGGACCGGCUAAUUCCGUG